Molecule: long non-coding RNA, 1602 nt
Filed under: Pelobates cultripes (western spadefoot toad)
Lineage: Eukaryota; Metazoa; Chordata; Amphibia; Anura; Pelobatidae
Source: RNAcentral
GUCUAAAAUUAUUUUUGAUGCCAAUUUGACAGAUGGAACCACAGGAAACCAUGUGCUAUGCCGCAUUGGAUCUCAGUCCUAAAAAGACAAGGAAACUAAGAAAAAAGAAAGCAACAUCAUUAAUUUCUAACCACUGUUUAGAAGAAUCCUCACCGAUGACUACGAACAGUACUUUAUCUAGAUCGAGUAUAUAUCUUAAUAGUGAGCAGCUGGCAGCUGAGUGCAGAAGAGAAGAGGAAUUUAUCCAUUACGACCCAGUUCGACUUUAUAAAAAGAUGCAUAAAACAAGAAAUUACAUGGAUGCAGAUGACCAAGGUCAACCAGACUGUUCAAAGUUUGGGACAUGCUGAUUGUCAUUCUGAGACUGACAAUCUGCAUUCAACCGUAACGACCCAAAAGUCAUGUUUUAGUGAUUAACUACAGAAGAUGUACUCUGCCUACGAAGAGGCCAUUGGAGGCGUCAAAACAAAUUUUGAUGCAUAGUUAAUAAUUUCAAAAGCUACUUUAAACCAGUGACGUGUGAUAAAUACUCAAUAGGUACAAUACAUUAAAUUUAUAGUUUAAAAGUCAAGUUCUAUAUCAGAGGUAAAAAAAACAAAAAACCUCCUUGCUCAUGAGACUGAUCAAAAGUUUCAUAGAUAUACCUGACUACCUCUAUAUAAAUUGUAAUAUCUAUUAAACCAGAAUAUAGAUUAGCAUAUAAAAGAACCUGUUAAUAGCAGUGCUUUCCUUUCAAAGUGACAGAUGACAAUACUGUUAAGAAAAUAAUAAAUAAUGAAAACCAGCAUGUGUGUUUGUGUGUGUAUUAUGCAAAUCUAAAACACAACACAUGUUAAAAUAAGUAUUUAUUUAUGCUUGACAAAGGGAAAGAAUAGAAUUCCAUUCCUCUAUAUUCAGUGAUAUAGUGAAAAGGCCUCACUGUCCUUUAUAAAUUAGACCAAAAUAGUUUUUUUCUACAAUUACAAAACAGAGUCAUGCUACCAGUUAGUGCUGGAUUUAGGUCUUCUUGGACCUGGAGCUGAUGGACCUAAUGAGAAGUUAAAUAUAAAUUUCAGAUAUCAUUGUAGCAAUUACCAUGUAGAACAUAUACCAAAUCUAAUGCUGAUCCACGUGGACUCUGAAUUCUUCUUCAUGUGCAAUUGCAAUGCAACAUAUCUAGCUUUAAGGUUGCAUAUACAACAGGAAAUAGUCUCAGAACUAUCAGUGACUGGGAAACAUUUCCAAAACAUAAAGUGGCAAGUGGAAUAAACUGAAAAAAAUGUAACAUUUACAUUGUGGCUGUUUUAUUUUAAAGCAAGAAUCUGGAGCUUCUGCUCCAAUAGCCCCUGUAUUAUUUUGGCCCUGAUGCCACUGAAAACAGUCAGCUAAGGAAUCCUAGGCCACAAAACUUAUACAGUCCUAGGAUGGAAGAGGCACCUUUGGGGAUCACACUUCCUUUUUAUUCUAGGAGCAGCACUCAAGAUGGCUUUUAGACCAGACAGUUUUCACCUUCAGUGCAGGACAUUCCAGUUCCCAGCCGCUAGUACAUGAAAAGGGACUUUUUGAGUUGCCUGCUCUUAUUAAUGACUGUAAUAAAUAUGUGGAAUAAACAUGACUCUUGAU